RNAcentral lists this ribosomal RNA (410 nucleotides) under uncultured soil bacterium. RNAcentral describes it as "bacterial SSU rRNA". It matches the Rfam family "Bacterial small subunit ribosomal RNA", at positions 509 to 916 of the family's 1533-position model. The record is from RNAcentral.
CAGCAGCCGCGGGUAAUACGUAGGGGGCGAGCGUUGUCCGGAAUCAUUGGGCGUAAAGAGCGUGUAGGCGGCCCGGUAAGUCCGCUGUGAAAACCCGGGGCUCAACCCCGGGCGUGCAGUGGAAACUGCUGGGCUAGAGGGCGGCAGAGGCGAGUGGAAUUCCCGGUGUAGCGGUGAAAUGCGCAGAUAUCGGGAGGAACACCGGUAGCGAAGGCGGCUCGCUGGGCCGUUCCUGACGCUGAGACGCGAAAGCUAGGGGAGCGAACAGGAUUAGAUACCCUGGUAGUCCUAGCCGUAAACGAUGGGCACUAGGUGUGGGGGGAGUCGAAUCCCUCCGUGCCGCAGCCAACGCGUUAAGUGCCCCGCCUGGGGAGUACGGCCGCAAGGCUAAAACUCAAAUGAAUUGACGG